GGGUUGUGAGGUUAAGCGAAUAAGCGUACACGGUGGAUGCCUAGGCAAUCAGAGGCGAUGAAGGACGUGCUAAUCUGCGAUAAGCGUCGGUAAGGUGAUAUGAACCGUUAUACCCGACGAUUUCCGAAUGGGGAAACCCAAUAUCCAAUGGAUAUUAUCAUUAACUGAAUACAUAGGUUAAUGAAGCGAACCGGGAGAACUGAAACAUCUCAGUACCCCGAGGAAAAGAAAUCAACCGAGAUUCCCCUAGUAGCGGCGAGCGAACGGGGAACAGCCCAGAGUCUUAAUCAAUAGCAGCAUCAGGAGAACGGUCUGGAAAGUCCGGCAGUAAAGGGUGAUAGCCCCGUAUCUGAAGAUGCUGUUAUUGUGAACUCGACGAGUAGGGCGGGACACGUGUUAUCCUGUCUGAAUAUGGGGGGACCAUCCUCCAAGGCUAAAUACUCCUGAUUGACCGAUAGUGAACCAGUACCGUGAGGGAAAGGCGAAAAGAACCCCGGCGAGGGGAGUGAAAAAGAACCUGAAACCGUGUACGUACAAGCAGUAGGAGCCUCUUCGUGAGGUGACUGCGUACCUUUUGUAUAAUGGGUCAGCGACUUAUAUUCUGUAGCAAGGUUAACCGAAUAGGGGAGCCGUAGGGAAACCGAGUCUUAACUGGGCGAAUGAGUUGCAGGGUAUAGACCCGAAACCCGGUGAUCUAUCCAUGGGCAGGUUGAAGGUUGGGUAACACUAACUGGAGGACCGAACCGACUAAUGUUGAAAAAUUAGCGGAUGACUUGUGGAUGGGGGUGAAAGGCCAAUCAAACCGGGAGAUAGCUGGUUCUCCCCGAAAGCUAUUUAGGUAGCGCCUCGUGAACUCAUCUUCGGGGGUAGAGCACUGUUUCGACUAGGGGGUCAUCCCGACUUACCAACUCGAUGCAAACUACGAAUACCGAAGAAUGUUAUCACGGGAGACACACGGCGGGUGCUAACGUUCGUCGUGAAGAGGGAAACAACCCAGACCGCCAGCUAAGGUCCCAAAGUCAUGGUUAAGUGGGAAACGAAGUGGGAAGGCUCAGACAGCCAGGAUGUUGGCUUAGAAGCAGCCAUCAUUUAAAGAAAGCGUAAUAGCUCACUGGUCGAGUCGGCCCGCGCGGAAGAUGUAACGGGGCUAAACCAUGCACCGAAGCUGCGGCAGCGACACUUAGGUGUUGUUGGGUAGGGGAGCGUUCUGUAAGCCUGCGAAGGUGUACUGUGAGGUAUGCUGGAGGUAUCAGAAGUGCGAAUGCUGACAUAAGUAACGAUAAUGCGGGUGAAAAACCCGCACGCCGGAAGACCAAGGGUUCCUGUCCAACGUUAAUCGGGGCAGGGUGAGUCGACCCCUAAGGCGAGGCUGAAAAGCGUAGUCGAUGGGAAACGGGUUAAUAUUCCCGUACUGGUGGUAACUGCGAUGGGGGAACGGAGAAGGCUAGGUUGUCCGGGCGACGGUCGUCCCGGUUCAAGCAUGUAGGCAGAGUGAUUAGGCAAAUCCGGUCACUUAAUGCUGAGGUGUGAUGACGAGCCACUAAGGUGGUGAAGCAAUUGAUGCCCUGCUUCCAGGAAAAGCCUCUAAGCUUCAGGUUACCAACAAUCGUACCCCAAACCGACACAGGUGGUCAGGUAGAGAAUACUCAGGCGCUUGAGAGAACUCGGGUGAAGGAACUAGGCAAAAUGGUGCCGUAACUUCGGGAGAAGGCACGCUGGCGGUAAGUGAAGUCCCUUGCGGACGGAGCCGAAGCCAGUCGAAGAUACCAGCUGGCUGCAACUGUUUAUUAAAAACACAGCACUGUGCAAACACGAAAGUGGACGUAUACGGUGUGACGCCUGCCCGGUGCUGGAAGGUUAAUUGAUGGGGUUAUCCGUAAGGAGAAGCUCUUGAUCGAAGCCCCAGUAAACGGCGGCCGUAACUAUAACGGUCCUAAGGUAGCGAAAUUCCUUGUCGGGUAAGUUCCGACCUGCACGAAUGGCGUAAUGAUGGCCAGGCUGUCUCCACCCGAGACUCAGUGAAAUUGAACUCGCUGUGAAGAUGCAGUGUACCCGCGGCAAGACGGAAAGACCCCGUGAACCUUUACUAUAGCUUGACACUGAACAUUGAGCCUUGAUGUGUAGGAUAGGUGGGAGACUUAGAAGUGUGGACGCCAGUCUGCAUGGAGUCAACCUUGAAAUACCACCCUUUAACGUUUGAUGUUCUAACCUAGGCCCAUAAUCUGGGUCGGGGACCGUGUCUGGUGGGUAGUUUGACUGGGGCGGUCUCCUCCUAAAGAGUAACGGAGGAGCACGAAGGUUGGCUAAGCAUGGUCGGACAUCAUGCGGUUAGUGCAAAGGCAUAAGCCAGCUUGACUGUGAGAGUGACGGCUCGAGCAGGUACGAAAGUAGGUCUUAGUGAUCCGGUGGUUCUGAAUGGAAGGGCCAUCGCUCAACGGAUAAAAGGUACUCCGGGGAUAACAGGCUGAUACCGCCCAAGAGUUCAUAUCGACGGCGGUGUUUGGCACCUCGAUGUCGGCUCAUCACAUCCUGGGGCUGAAGUAGGUCCCAAGGGUAUGGCUGUUCGCCAUUUAAAGUGGUACGCGAGCUGGGUUUAGAACGUCGUGAGACAGUUCGGUCCCUAUCUGCCGUGGGCGUUGGAAGAUUGAGAGGGGUUGCUCCUAGUACGAGAGGACCGGAGUGAACGCACCACUGGUGUUCGGGUUGUCAUGCCAAUGGCAUUGCCCGGUAGCUAAGUGCGGAAGAGAUAACCGCUGAAAGCAUCUAAGCGGGAAACUUGCCUCGAGAUGAGUCUUCCCUGUCACCUAGAGUGACCUAAAGGAACGUUUAAGACUAAGACGUUGAUAGGCUGGGUGUGUAAGCGUAGCGAUACGUUGAGCUAACCAGUACUAAUGAACCGUGAGGCUUAACCUGACAACACCGAAGGUGUUU
Molecule: ribosomal RNA, 2931 nt
Filed under: Proteus columbae
Lineage: Bacteria; Pseudomonadati; Pseudomonadota; Gammaproteobacteria; Enterobacterales; Morganellaceae
Description: 23S ribosomal RNA
Rfam family: Bacterial large subunit ribosomal RNA
Source: RNAcentral